This 342-nucleotide unclassified non-coding RNA is filed under the name soil metagenome. Its description in RNAcentral is "partial contains 5.8S ribosomal RNA, internal transcribed spacer 2, and large subunit ribosomal RNA". The stretch from base 1 to 120 matches the Rfam family "5.8S ribosomal RNA", at positions 35 to 154 of the family's 154-position model. The record is from RNAcentral.
GAUGAAGAACGCAGCGAAAUGCGACAAGUAAUGUGAAUUGCAGAAUUCAGUGAAUCAUCGAAUCUUUGAACGCACAUUGCGCCCGCCAGCACUCUGGCGGGCAUGCCUGUUCGAGCGUCAUUUCAACCAUCAAGCCCCCAGGGGCUUGUGCUGGGGCCCUGCGGCUGCCCGCAGGCCCUGAAAACCAGUGGCGGGCUCGCUAGUCACACCGAGCGCAGUAGCACAUCUCGCUCAGGGCGUGCGGCGGGCUCCUGCCGUGAAACCCCCCACUGUAACCCCAAAGGUUGACCUCGGAUCAGGUAGGAAUACCCGCUGAACUUAAGCAUAUCAAUAAGCGGAGGA